UACAGAGGGGGCAAGCGUUGUUCGGAAUUACUGGGCGUAAAGGGCGCGUAGGCGGCCUGUUAAGUCGAACGUGAAAUCCCCGGGCUCAACCCGGGAACUGCGUCCGAUACUGGCAGGCUUGAAUCCGGGAGAGGGAUGUGGAAUUCCAGGUGUAGCGGUGAAAUGCGUAGAUAUCGGGAGGAACACCAGUGGCGAAGGCGACUUCCUGGCCUGUUCUUGACGCUGAGGCGCGAAAGCUAGGGGAGCAAACGGG
This 253-nucleotide ribosomal RNA is filed under the name uncultured bacterium. RNAcentral's name for it is "partial 16S ribosomal RNA". It matches the Rfam family "Bacterial small subunit ribosomal RNA", at positions 524 to 776 of the family's 1533-position model. The record is from RNAcentral.